RNAcentral lists this ribosomal RNA (663 nucleotides) under uncultured bacterium. RNAcentral's name for it is "bacterial SSU rRNA". It matches the Rfam family "Bacterial small subunit ribosomal RNA", at positions 8 to 650 of the family's 1533-position model. The record is from RNAcentral.
AGAGUUUGAUCCUGGCUCAGAACGAACGCUGGCGGCGUGCCUAACACAUGCAAGUCGAACGGGAUGAGGGGCUUGCUCCUCAUUUAGUGGCGCACGGGUGAGUAACGCGUAGAUAAUCUGCCUGAUGAUCUGGGAUAACACUUCGAAAGGGGUGCUAAUACCGGAUAAGCCCACGGGGUCUUUGGAUUCUGCGGGAAAAGGGGGGGACCUUCGGGCCUUCUGUCAUCAGAUGAGUCUGCGUACCAUUAGCUAGUUGGUAGGGUAAUGGCCUACCAAGGCUACGAUGGUUAGCUGGUUUGAGAGAAUGAUCAGCCACACUGGAACUGAGACACGGUCCAGACUCCUACGGGAGGCAGCAGUGGGGAAUUUUGCGCAAUGGGCGAAAGCCUGACGCAGCAACGCCGCGUGAGUGAUGAAGGCUUUCGGGUCGUAAAGCUCUGUCGAGGGGAAAGAAGUGUAUUGUGGCUAAUAUCCACGAUACUUGACGGUACCCCUAAAGGAAGCACCGGCUAACUCCGUGCCAGCAGCCGCGGUAAUACGGGGGGUGCAAGCGUUGUUCGGAAUUAUUGGGCGUAAAGAGCGUGUAGGCGGUUUGUUAAGUCUGUUGUGAAAGCCCUGGGCUCAACCCAGGAAGUGCACUGGAUACUGGCAGACUUGAAUACG